AUGAUUUUAUUUGUGUCUCAUCCCUGGAGUAAGAAAGACCAUGUAAUCAGAAACCGUUGGCGCCGGAAGAGACCCUCCGAAGGUCCUGAGGACCAGACUCUCAUUCCAAGUUUGCUUCUCUUUGGAAAGAUAGUACUGGAUUAUCUGAAACAGAAAAAAAUAAAAAGAUAAUUUUUAAGGAAAAAACGUAAGGUAAUGUCAAUGAAUUCUCAAAAAUGAGAUUUACCUUAUAGCUUCUAUAUUUUUAAACAAACAACAUCAUUUUUCCACAGGUACAAUCAUUAUUUGGAACUGUCACUAAAUUAUACCCUCCAAAAUCAGUGUUAAAUUUUAGAGCUUUGAAACAAUGCAUUUUGGUAUUGUUGCUUUAUUUUUCUCCCUGCAAAAAAAUGAC
This 394-nucleotide long non-coding RNA is filed under the name Bos indicus x Bos taurus (hybrid cattle). RNAcentral describes it as "lncRNA (ENSBIXG00000028049.1)". The record is from RNAcentral. Lineage: Eukaryota; Metazoa; Chordata; Mammalia; Artiodactyla; Bovidae.